GCAGUGACUCAGCUGGAAGCGAAGAAGGAGCUGGUGUCAUCAGCUGUUGUUAGGAAAGAACGGAGGAGCCUGGGGGAAACUCUCCAGUCCUGAGAGGACGGGAGGCAUGAGGUUUCUCCUCUAGAAAAGAUGCCCACGUGAACCAGGGAGAUGCUGCUUACCAAACACAUGUAGAGCAACAGAUCUGUGUGGCAGAAGCUGUGGAAAUGGCAGCCAUGGAAGUACUGCACUCAGAUCGUCCUUCAAGAGAAGCACCUACGAGCAGAAUAGUUCCUGGGCAGCUUCCAGCUAUUCACCUUGGAUCUAAUGCAGCUUUCAUUCUGAGGCCUUGCUCUCCAUCGGUUUCUCCUAGCCAGUGGCCAAGCAUGGGAAGAAGAUGAAAGCUGGCCAUACCAGCCCAACGUGGGACUCCUGUAAUGGGCAGUCUCUGCACUGGGGCUUCCUGUUGGCCUGGCUGAGAUGUUACCAGAGUUUCACUGCCACUGAAAUCUAUUCAGUUCUCCUCUCUUCCCUCUCCUUGCACAGCUGUUAGCCCUGCACAGGGCUCUGAAGGCUCUCCCUGCCCACUCCUGCUCCCUCUCUCCUGUACCCUUUACAAACAUUUCCCUUCUGCAUGUUUUAUUCUGGUUGGCAUCUACUUCUCAGAGGACCCAAAGUGGAACAGGAGGCCUCAGAAAAAGGCAAAUAAAAUUCCUCUACUAAAAAAAAA
Molecule: non-coding RNA, 709 nt
Organism: Callorhinus ursinus (northern fur seal)
Lineage: Eukaryota; Metazoa; Chordata; Mammalia; Carnivora; Otariidae
Source: RefSeq, a predicted model, not a curated record